RNAcentral lists this ribosomal RNA (372 nucleotides) under uncultured fungus. Its description in RNAcentral is "eukaryotic LSU rRNA". The stretch from base 18 to 171 matches the Rfam family "5.8S ribosomal RNA". Lineage: Eukaryota; Fungi. The record is from RNAcentral.
UACAAGCAACGAAUUAAAACUUUCAACAACGGAUCUCUUGGUUCUGGCAUCGAUGAAGAACGCAGCGAAAUGCGAUAAGUAGUGUGAAUUGCAGAAUUCAGUGAAUCAUCGAAUCUUUGAACGCACAUUGCGCCCCUUGGUAUCCCGAGGGGCAUGCCUGUUCGAGCGUCAUUUCACCAUUCAAGCCUGGCUUGGUGUUGGGCGACGUCCCCUUUGGGGACGCGCUUCGAAACGCUCGGCGGCGUGGCACCGGCUUUAAGCGUAGCAGAAUCUUUCGCUUUGAAAGUCGGGGCCCCGUCUGCCGGAAGACCUACUCAAGGUUGACCUCGGAUCAGGUAGGGAUACCCGCUGAACUUAAGCAUAUCAAUAAGC